CGGGGUGUGGCGCAGUUUGGUAGCGCGCUGGGUUCGGGACUCAGAGGUCGAGAGUUCAAGUCUCUCCACCCCGA
This 74-nucleotide transfer RNA is filed under the name Chloroflexota bacterium. RNAcentral's name for it is "tRNA-Pro". It matches the Rfam family "tRNA". From Rfam's summary of the family: Transfer RNA (tRNA) molecules are approximately 80 nucleotides in length. Their secondary structure includes four short double-helical elements and three loops (D, anti-codon, and T loops). Further hydrogen bonds mediate the characteristic L-shaped molecular structure. tRNAs have two regions of fundamental functional importance: the anti-codon, which is responsible for specific mRNA codon recognition, and the 3' end, to which the tRNAs corresponding amino acid is attached (by aminoacyl-tRNA synthetases). tRNAs cope with the degeneracy of the genetic code in two manners: having more than one tRNA (with a specific anti-codon) for a particular amino acid; and 'wobble' base-pairing, i.e. permitting non-standard base-pairing at the 3rd anti-codon position. The record is from RNAcentral. RNAcentral also lists the same sequence under 2 other names. Lineage: Bacteria; Bacillati; Chloroflexota.